RNAcentral lists this ribosomal RNA (492 nucleotides) under uncultured bacterium. RNAcentral describes it as "partial 16S ribosomal RNA". It matches the Rfam family "Bacterial small subunit ribosomal RNA", at positions 29 to 507 of the family's 1533-position model. The record is from RNAcentral.
AGUGAACGCUGGCGGUAGGCCUAACACAUGCAAGUCGAACGGCAGCACAGUAAGAGCUUGCUCUUACGGGUGGCGAGUGGCGGACGGGUGAGGAAUACAUCGGAAUCUACUUUUUCGUGGGGGAUAACGUAGGGAAACUUACGCUAAUACCGCAUACGACCUACGGGUGAAAGCAGGGGAUCUUCGGACCUUGCGCGAUUGAAUGAGCCGAUGUCGGAUUAGCUAGUUGGCGGGGUAAAGGCCCACCAAGGCGACGAUCCGUAGCUGGUCUGAGAGGAUGAUGAGCGACACUGGGACUGAGACACGGUCCAGACUCCGACGGGAGGCAGCAGUGGGGAAUAUUGGACAAAGGGCGCAAGCCUGAUCCAGCCAUACCGCGUGGGUGAAGAAGGCCUUCGGGUUGUAAAGCCCUUUUGUUGGGAAAGAAAAGCAGCAGGUUAAUACCACGCUGUUCUGACGGUACCCAAAGAAUAAGCACCGGCUAACUUCGUG